AAAAUUGAGGUAUUCAUUACCUCUUUGUAUUUAAACCCCACUCUAUAAAACCUAAAAUUUUUUAAAAAAUAAAAAUUA
RNAcentral lists this unclassified non-coding RNA (78 nucleotides) under soil metagenome. RNAcentral's name for it is "partial internal transcribed spacer 1". The record is from RNAcentral.